RNAcentral lists this ribosomal RNA (253 nucleotides) under uncultured bacterium. RNAcentral describes it as "partial 16S ribosomal RNA". It matches the Rfam family "Bacterial small subunit ribosomal RNA", at positions 524 to 776 of the family's 1533-position model. The record is from RNAcentral.
UACAGAGGGUGCAAGCGUUAAUCGGAAUUACUGGGCGUAAAGCGUGCGUGGUCGGUUAUCUAAGUCGGAUGUGAAAUCCCCGGGCUCAACCUGGGAAUUGCAUUCGAUACUGGAUAGCUAGAGUUCGGCAGAGGGAAGUGGAAUUUCGGGUGUAGCGGUGAAAUGCGUAGAUAUCCGAAGGAACAUCAGUGGCGAAAGCGACUUCCUGGACCAGAACUGACGAUCAGGCACGAAAGCGUGGGGAGCAAACAGG